RNAcentral lists this ribosomal RNA (253 nucleotides) under uncultured bacterium. RNAcentral's name for it is "partial 16S ribosomal RNA". It matches the Rfam family "Bacterial small subunit ribosomal RNA", at positions 524 to 776 of the family's 1533-position model. The record is from RNAcentral.
UACGAGUGCCUCAAGCGUUAUCCGGAAUCAUUGGGCGUAAAGCGCGCGUAGGUGGCUCUGUAAGUCCGUUGUGAAAGUCAAAGGCUCAACCUUUGAAAGCCGAUGGAUACUGCAGAGCUAGAGUACGGAAGAGGCGAGUGGAAUUCCUGGUGUAGCGGUGGAAUGCGCAGAUAUCAGGAGGAACACCAAUAGCGAAGGCAGCUCGCUGGGACGUUACUGACACUGAGGCGCGAAAGCGUGGGGAGCGAACAGG